RNAcentral lists this ribosomal RNA (254 nucleotides) under uncultured bacterium. RNAcentral describes it as "partial 16S ribosomal RNA". It matches the Rfam family "Bacterial small subunit ribosomal RNA", at positions 524 to 776 of the family's 1533-position model. The record is from RNAcentral.
UACGUAGGGUGCGAGCGUUGUCCGGAAUUAUUGGGCGUAAAGAGCUUGUAGGCGGUUUGUCGCGUCUGCUGUGAAAAUCCGGGGCUCAACCCCGGACUUGCAGUGGGUACGGGCAGACUAGAGUGUGGUAGGGGAGACUGGAAUUCCUGGUGUAGCGGUGAAAUGCGCAGAUAUCAGGAGGAACACCGAUGGCGGAAGGCAGGUCUCUGGGCCACUACUGACGCUGAGAAGCGAAAGCAUGGGGAGCGAACAGG